GCAUCAGUGAGGUUUAUCCUUGCCUGUAAUCUUAGAAAUAAGUCUACAGUAUAUGAUGAUUGGAUUCUAAGAAUACCUUUUAUAUUUUAUUCUGUGUUAAAUUGGGGUAUAUCACUCAUUUAUGAAUCCUGUCUGGU
This 137-nucleotide small nucleolar RNA is filed under the name Danio rerio (zebrafish). Its description in RNAcentral is "U8 small nucleolar RNA". It matches the Rfam family "U8 small nucleolar RNA". Rfam says of the family: U8 is a member of the C/D class of snoRNA which contain the C (UGAUGA) and D (CUGA) box motifs. The record is from Rfam by way of RNAcentral. Lineage: Eukaryota; Metazoa; Chordata; Actinopteri; Cypriniformes; Danionidae.